This 406-nucleotide transfer-messenger RNA is filed under the name Nitritalea halalkaliphila. RNAcentral's name for it is "Standard tmRNA". It matches the Rfam family "transfer-messenger RNA". Rfam says of the family: Bacterial tmRNA, also known as 10Sa RNA or SsrA, is named for its dual tRNA and mRNA-like properties. RNAcentral also lists the same sequence under 1 other name. Lineage: Bacteria; Pseudomonadati; Bacteroidota; Cytophagia; Cytophagales; Cyclobacteriaceae. The record is from RNAcentral.
GGGGCUGACCGGUUUUGACAGUAGGUGUAAGGACUGGGCUCGCAUGUCAGGUGGAGUAUGUACGCCUGUGAAUCAUUCAUACGAACUAUAAUUGGCGAAAAUAAUUACGCCAUGGCUGCCUAAUCUACCCCUCGGGGACUAGAUACUGCUUAAAGGGUUGAGUCCGCCAAGGUGGAUUCCCCGGCCACAUCCCACCACGCUUUGCCUUGUCAGGGUGGAUCUGGGGUGUCGACUUGACAGGGCUGCGCUCUUCGAGGCUACUAAGAGGAGUAAAGGACAGUAGCUAAGCUGCAGUAUGGUGUGUCACCCAGCGAGCUGCAGUCGAAAACCCAACAGGUGACUAAACAUGUAGACGGUACGGUGUUUCCCUAUCUGGACGCGAGUUCGAAUCUCGCCAGCUCCACAU